CAAAAAACCAAAUAUAUUAAAACAUAUAUGACAAUAGUACAAAAACUCUUCAUCGUUCACUACAAGAGAUCGAGUUUAAUCCUGGCCACAACUCAAAUUCAAUUACGGGCACUUUUCUGUAUUGGGCAGUAACUGGGAACUGACAGCCCCAUGGACAGCGGUCAAAGUAAAUGUUACAGUGAAAUUCGUUGUUGGUGAUUUGAAUGUGGUGUAUACAACACCAAGAAUGAAAGAGUGUGCCGAUGUUGUUGUGUUUGAGGGAGCUGAACAAAAGAAGGAGCUAUGGCAGUAGAAGAAGAGACUGAGGGUCGUAUUUGGGACAAUUUUUUAUGUUAUAUAUAUGCCAUUUGAUCUCUCCAAUGCUACAUCUACUGCUUGCACUUCCUGUUUCUCACUUUCUUGUUACAUUUCCUUUCUCUUAACUUAGCCAAUUGUUCAGCCGACAACAUGAAUGUUUUGAUCGCCUCAUCUUUUUCUUCCAGUUUAGACACAAGGUUCAGAAUCUUUUCCUGUAUCAUCACCCAAUUAACAUUUAACAGUUG
Molecule: unclassified non-coding RNA, 542 nt
Filed under: Hevea brasiliensis (rubber tree)
Lineage: Eukaryota; Viridiplantae; Streptophyta; Magnoliopsida; Malpighiales; Euphorbiaceae
Source: RNAcentral